GCCACGGGGCAACAGCCUCUGACGCCCCUUCUUAUUCCAUUGCGGCAGGAGGAGGCUUGCCCAACAAGAGGCCUACUUACUUUGCCAAGACGUGGCAGGAGCGCAACGACCUAGCCCAAACCUACUUAAACUAAAGGCUUGGCCCGGUCUGAAGGAAGAAUAAAGUAGACCUUGUAGAGAAGCGGAUAGGAGAGGUAGCCUAUAGACUCAAGCGAUCAGCUCGGUUAAAACUCACCCCGUAUUCCAUGUGAGUCAGUUGACUUCGAUUAGACCAGACCGACCCAGAGAGGGAAGGGAAGGAACGUGCCCAGCCCACGAGGGCACCACCAGAUGUUGUAGAUUCACUUACUAAGAAAGAAAAAUAGUAUAUAUAUCAUAGCUGACCGCACCAUGGGCUAGCCCAUACACCCACUGCACGAGUAGAAUACUACUUAGUCAAGUAGAAGGGCCAACCUGAGAGCGAGGCAAGCUGGGAGAAGAAGGGCUGAAACUUACGAUUCGAAGACCAAGUAAGAGACUACUGGGCGUCUCGCAGAGCGACUCUCAACGAGGACGUUGAGACUUUUAAAAUUAAAAAAAAUCUUUUUCUUAAUCCGCCUUUACUAAAGAUCAAGGAGUACACUUGUAUUCCGGCUAAUAAGGGAAAGGUUUUUUUUUCAAAUCCAAGUUUGACUCUGAUUAUAUCCUUAGCGCAAGCGCUAAGUCAGCCCUAAACUAAAGGCCUUAUGUAAUGUAAAAAAACCGAGGAAAAUAACGUCAAGUAGAAAGGAACAAGGUCUUACGGCACGAUCGCUAUAUCUUUUAUUUUUCUUUAUCUCUCCUCUAUAGAAAGAGGGGAUGAUACGUGGCGUGGUAUACCUGAUCGUUUGGUCAACGAGACGUACGUCAGUCGACAUAGCUCCAUUUAGAUUAAUAUAUAUUUAUUUCACUUAGCCCGCCUCUCCCAUGACUUUCCGGACCCGGAUCUGCCCUCGAAAGUCUCUCUGCAUUUUGGGAGCAGAGCAUGCAAAAUCGAGCAAUGAAUCUUAUAAAAAUGAAAAGCCCGGGUAGAAGCACAAGCAAAAGGAUAGAGUAAAAAAGGGGAGGGGGGAGGAGACUCGCCUCAAUACUUCCCACUGGACGAGAGGCGCACCUAACCCACCUACCCACUCAUCAAUCACGGUGUUCAGCUGACUUGCACUGAUAGACCCCUAUUGUCUUGGAAUUAGGCGCCC
Molecule: non-coding RNA, 1214 nt
Organism: Lupinus albus (white lupine)
Lineage: Eukaryota; Viridiplantae; Streptophyta; Magnoliopsida; Fabales; Fabaceae
Source: the annotation of a GenBank genome assembly